RNAcentral lists this ribosomal RNA (301 nucleotides) under uncultured bacterium. RNAcentral's name for it is "partial 16S ribosomal RNA". It matches the Rfam family "Bacterial small subunit ribosomal RNA", at positions 509 to 807 of the family's 1533-position model. The record is from RNAcentral.
CAGUAGCCGCGGUAAUACGUAGGGUGCAAGCGUUAAUCGGAGUUACUGGGCGUAAAGCGUGCGCAGGCGGUUAUAUAAGACAGAUGUGAAAUCCCCGGGCUCAACCUGGGAACUGCAUUUGUGACUGUAUAGCUAGAGUACGGCAGAGGGGGAUGGAAUUCCGCGUGUAGCAGUGAAAUGCGUAGAUAUGCGGAGGAACACCGAUGGCGAAGGCAAUCCCCUGGGCCUGUACUGACGCUCAUGCACGAAAGCGUGGGGAGCAAACAGGAUUAGAUACCCCCGUAGUCCCUGUCUCUUAUAC